GAUGAAGAACGCAGCGAAAUGCGAUACGUAAUGUGAAUUGCAAAUUCAGUGAAUCAUCGAGUCUUUGAACGCACAUUGCGCCCCCUGGUAUUCCGGGGGGCAUGCCUGUCCGAGCGUCAUUGCUGCCCUCAAGCACGGCUUGUGUGUUGGGCCCCGUCCUCCGAUCCCGGGGGACGGGCCCGAAAGGCAGCGGCGGCACCGCGUCCGGUCCUCGAGCGUAUGGGGCUUUGUCACCCGCUCUGUAGGCCCGGCCGGCGCUUGCCGAUCAACCCAAAUUUUUAUCCAGGUUGACCUCGGAUCAGGUAGGGAUUCCCGCUGAACUUAAGCAUAUCAAUAAGCGGAGGA
Molecule: unclassified non-coding RNA, 345 nt
Filed under: soil metagenome
Description: partial contains 5.8S ribosomal RNA, internal transcribed spacer 2, and large subunit ribosomal RNA
Rfam family: 5.8S ribosomal RNA (bases 1-119)
Source: RNAcentral